UUAAGCGACUAAGCGUACACGGUGGAUGCCCUGGCAGUCAGAGGCGAUGAAGGACGUGCUAAUCUGCGAAAAGCGUCGGUAAGGUGAUAUGAACCGUUAUAACCGGCGAUGUCCGAAUGGGGAAACCCAGUGCAAUUCGUUGCACUAUCGUUAACUGAAUACAUAGGUUAACGAGGCGAACCGGGGGAACUGAAACAUCUAAGUACCCCGAGGAAAAGAAAUCAACCGAGAUUCCCCCAGUAGCGGCGAGCGAACGGGGAGCAGCCCAGAGUCUGAAUCAGCUUGUGUGUUAGUGGAACGGUCUGGAAAGUCCGACGGUACAGGGUGAUAGUCCCGUACACCAAAAUGCACAGGCUGUGAACUCGAAGAGUAGGGCGGGACACGUGGUAUCCUGUCUGAAUAUGGGGGGACCAUCCUCCAAGGCUAAAUACUCCUGACUGACCGAUAGUGAACCAGUACCGUGAGGGAAAGGCGAAAAGAACCCCGGCGAGGGGAGUGAAAAAGAACCUGAAACCGUGUACGUACAAGCAGUGGGAGCACCUUCGGGUGUGACUGCGUACCUUUUGUAUAAUGGGUCAGCGACUUAUAUUCUGUAGCAAGGUUAACCGUAUAGGGGAGCCGCAGGGAAACCGAGUCUUAACUGGGCGUUAAGUUGCAGGGUAUAGACCCGAAACCCGGUGAUCUAGCCAUGGGCAGGUUGAAGGUUGGGUAACACUAACUGGAGGACCGAACCGACUAAUGUUGAAAAAUUAGCGGAUGACUUGUGGCUGGGGGUGAAAGGCCAAUCAAACCGGGAGAUAGCUGGUUCUCCCCGAAAGCUAUUUAGGUAGCCGCCUCGUGAAUUCAUCUUCGGGGGUAGAGCACUGUUUCGGCUAGGGGGUCAUCCCGACUUACCAACCCGAUGCAAACUACGAAUACCGAAGAAUGUUAUCACGGGAGACACACGGCGGGUGCUAACGUCCGUCGUGAAGAGGGAAACAACCCAGACCGCCAGCUAAGGUCCCAAAGUCAUGGUUAAGUGGGAAACGAUGUGGGAAGGCACAGACAGCCAGGAUGUUGGCUUAGAAGCAGCCAUCAUUUAAAGAAAGCGUAAUAGCUCACUGGUCGAGUCGGCCUGCGCGGAAGAUGUAACGGGGCUAAACCAUGCACCGAAGCUGCGGCAGCGACACUAUGUGUUGUUGGGUAGGGGAGCGUUCUGUAAGCCUGCGAAGGUGACCUGUGAGGGUUGCUGGAGGUAUCAGAAGUGCGAAUGCUGACAUAAGUAACGAUAAAGCGGGUGAAAAGCCCGCUCGCCGGAAGACCAAGGGUUCCUGUCCAACGUUAAUCGGGGCAGGGUGAGUCGACCCCUAAGGCGAGGCCGAAAGGCGUAGUCGAUGGAAACAGGUUAAUAUUCCUGUACUUGGUGUUACUGCGAAGGGGGGACGGAGAAGGCUAUGUUAGCCGGGCGACGGUUGUCCCGGUUUAAGCAUGUAGGCUGGUUGUCCAGGCAAAUCCGGAUAAUCAAGGCUGAGGUGUGAUGACGAGGCACUACGGUGCUGAAGUAACAAAUGCCCUGCUUCCAGGAAAAGCCUCUAAGCAUCAGGUAACAUCAAAUCGUACCCCAAACCGACACAGGUGGUCAGGUAGAGAAUACCAAGGCGCUUGAGAGAACUCGGGUGAAGGAACUAGGCAAAAUGGUGCCGUAACUUCGGGAGAAGGCACGCUGGUGUGUAGGUGAAGUCCCUGCGGAUGGAGCUGAGACCAGUCGAAGAUACCAGCUGGCUGCAACUGUUUAUUAAAAACACAGCACUGUGCAAACACGAAAGUGGACGUAUACGGUGUGACGCCUGCCCGGUGCCGGAAGGUUAAUUGAUGGGGUUAUCCGUAAGGAGAAGCUCUUGAUCGAAGCCCCGGUAAACGGCGGCCGUAACUAUAACGGUCCUAAGGUAGCGAAAUUCCUUGUCGGGUAAGUUCCGACCUGCACGAAUGGCGUAAUGAUGGCCAGGCUGUCUCCACCCGAGACUCAGUGAAAUUGAACUCGCUGUGAAGAUGCAGUGUACCCGCGGCAAGACGGAAAGACCCCGUGAACCUUUACUAUAGCUUGACACUGAACAUUGAGCCUUGAUGUGUAGGAUAGGUGGGAGGCUUUGAAGCGUGGACGCCAGUCUGCGUGGAGCCAACCUUGAAAUACCACCCUUUAAUGUUUGAUGUUCUAACGUUGGCCCCUUAUCGGGGUUGCGGACAGUGUCUGGUGGGUAGUUUGACUGGGGCGGUCUCCUCCCAAAGCGUAACGGAGGAGCACGAAGGUUAGCUAAUCCUGGUCGGACAUCAGGAGGUUAGUGCAAUGGCAUAAGCUAGCUUGACUGCGAGCGUGACGGCGCGAGCAGGUGCGAAAGCAGGUCAUAGUGAUCCGGUGGUUCUGAAUGGAAGGGCCAUCGCUCAACGGAUAAAAGGUACUCCGGGGAUAACAGGCUGAUACCGCCCAAGAGUUCAUAUCGACGGCGGUGUUUGGCACCUCGAUGUCGGCUCAUCACAUCCUGGGGCUGAAGUAGGUCCCAAGGGUAUGGCUGUUCGCCAUUUAAAGUGGUACGCGAGCUGGGUUUAGAACGUCGUGAGACAGUUCGGUCCCUAUCUGCCGUGGGCGCUGGAGAAUUGAGGGGGGCUGCUCCUAGUACGAGAGGACCGGAGUGGACGCAUCACUGGUGUUCGGGUUGUCAUGCCAAUGGCACUGCCCGGUAGCUAAAUGCGGAAGAGAUAAGUGCUGAAAGCAUCUAAGCACGAAACUUGCCCCGAGAUGAGUUCUCCCUGAGACUUUAAGUCUCCUGAAGGAACGUUGAAGACGAUGACGUUGAUAGGCCGGGUGUGUAAGCGCAGCGAUGCGUUGAGCUAACCGGUACUAAUGAACCGUGAGGCUUAACCUU
RNAcentral lists this ribosomal RNA (2900 nucleotides) under Klebsiella pneumoniae subsp. ozaenae. RNAcentral describes it as "bacterial LSU rRNA". It matches the Rfam family "Bacterial large subunit ribosomal RNA". The record is from RNAcentral. Lineage: Bacteria; Pseudomonadati; Pseudomonadota; Gammaproteobacteria; Enterobacterales; Enterobacteriaceae.